UCUUAUGGAUACCUGGGUAUAAAAAAACGAGUUGGGCGCAGUUUAUUGCGAAAAGGUAGUUUAUAAAAACUAAAUAUUUACUACGUUCCCAAGAGAAAAAAUUCUUUAAAAAUAACUUCUUUCGAGGAUUAGUGUUAUCUUUGUUAGUUAAAGUUAGUUUUUGUAUUUUUGGUGAACUGAAACAUCUAAGUAACUAAAAAAAAAAAUCAAACGAGAAACCGUUAGUAGUGGCGAGCGAAUACGGUAAUUAAACGAAAUGUUAGCAUAUAUCUUUUAUUAUUAUUUUAUUAAAAAAGUAUAGGAAUUCUUUGCCAAAGAGGGUGUUAGCCCCGUGAUAUUUGAUAAUUUAAGUUUUUUGUUUUCUUUAAGAUUGUUUUAGGCAUUUCUUUGGGAGUACCAUUCUUCCAUGUUUAAAAAUUUUUUAUAACCGAUAGUGUACAAGUACUGUGAAGGAAAGGUGAAAAGAACCCUGUGAAGGGGAGUGAAAUAGAUCUUGAAUUAGGGCAUUUUCAAUGUAUUAAUGAUAAACUUUGUGUUUUCUUAGUGUACCUUUUGCAUCAUGGGUCAGCGAGUUUAUUACUGAAGCGUGUUUAAGUCGAAAGAUUUUUGUAAGCGUAGCGAAAGCGAGUUUAAGCUAUUUAGGUUUAAGCGAAAAAAAAAUUUAGAAUUUGCUUUUGUAAUAAGAUCCGAAAUCGAGUGAGCUAGCUUUGGGCAGAUUGAAAUUGUAAUAACUUACAGUGGAGGAUCGAACUUGUGUAUGUGGCAAAAUACUAGGAUGACCUGAAGUUAGGGGCGAAAGACCAAUCAAACUCGAAAAUAGCUUGUUGUGCGCGAAAUAUAUUUGAGUAUAGCCUUUAAAAUAAUUUGUUAGGGUCAAAGAGGUAGAGC
Molecule: ribosomal RNA, 888 nt
Filed under: uncultured Goniomonas sp.
Lineage: Eukaryota; Cryptophyceae; Goniomonadida; Goniomonadaceae
Description: partial Bacterial large subunit ribosomal RNA
Rfam family: Bacterial large subunit ribosomal RNA
Source: RNAcentral